This 529-nucleotide ribosomal RNA is filed under the name uncultured bacterium. RNAcentral describes it as "partial 16S ribosomal RNA". It matches the Rfam family "Bacterial small subunit ribosomal RNA", at positions 355 to 874 of the family's 1533-position model. The record is from RNAcentral.
UGGGGAAUUUUGGACAAUGGGGGCAACCCUGAUCCAGCAAUGCCGCGUGAGUGAAGAAGGCCUUCGGGUUGUAAAGCNCUUUUGUCCGGGAAGAAAUCCUCUUGGUUAAUACCUGGGGAGGGAUGACGGUACUGGAAGAAUAAGCACCGGCUAACUACGUGCCAGCAGCCGCGGUAAUACGUAGGGUGCAAGCGUUAAUCGGAAUUACUGGGCGUAAAGCGUGCGCAGGCGGUUGUGCAAGACCGAUGUGAAAUCCCCGGGCUUAACCUGGGAACUGCAUUGGUGACUGCACGGCUAGAGUGUGUCAGAGGGGGGUAGAAUUCCACGUNUAGGCAGUGAAAUGCGUAGAGAUGUGGAGGAAUACCGAUGGCGAAGGCAGCCCCCUGGGAUAACACUGACGCUCAUGCACGAAAGCGUGGGGAGCAAACAGGAUUAGAUACCCUGGUAGUCCACGCCCUAAACGAUGUCAACUAGUUGUCGGGUCUUAAAUUGACUUGGUAACGCAGCUAACGCGUGAAGUUGACCGCCU